Lepus europaeus (European hare) is the source of this 980-nucleotide long non-coding RNA. RefSeq lists it as uncharacterized. The record is from RefSeq and is a predicted model, not a curated record. The transcript is spliced from 4 exons. Lineage: Eukaryota; Metazoa; Chordata; Mammalia; Lagomorpha; Leporidae.
AAGCCGACUGUGCUGUUCCUGGAGACUGGGAAGAAAAGAAAGGCUGGAAAGACUCCAAAGCACAGGGUGAAGUUGCCGAUCUCCUUGGCCUUAUUGAGCUGGGGAAUAUCUCAGGAGACCAGCUUGUCUCCUUGUCAUCUACCUGGUCCUGGAGAGGAAUCUUUAGGUGAUUUUCAGAAAUUCAUUUGUUUUGUGCUUUUCUUCAUUAUCUGGAGAAGUUUGUCCUUUCCCAUGUGCUGUCAUCAUUUUCCAUGUUUACUUCAAAAUAAACAAAAUAAAAUAUAACAGGAUCCGGUGUUUAUUAACAGAUCAGGAUUUAUUUAUUUGUUUGAAAGGAGGAAUACAGAGAGAAGAAGAGGAAAAGAAAGAGAGAGAGAGAGAGAGAGAUCUUCUAUCUGCUAGUUCACUUCCCAAAUGGCAGCAAUGUCUGGGGCUGAGCCAGACUGAAGCCAGGUGCCAGGAGCUUCUUCCAGUUCUCGCAUACUUCUUCCCACCACGAGCUCACCACACCCAGACUGCCUUCUACAUGAAAGAUUGAAGAGAUGCAGAGCCAAACUAUCCAUCAAGUAUUUAUGUGGGUGAAGAAAAAGAUGAUUUGGUAAUGUCAGUAUGCUUGAUAUUCACUGAUUUUCCCAGCCAUGACAGACUUUUUACAGGAAUAGAUCAUUACAAAUAUUUUGUUGUAUCUAAAACAUAAAGGUUUGAGAUUUUUUCCCCUAACAGAAUAUCCUGUGCCUGGAAAAACUAUGAAGUCUUUUCUUUAAAGAUUGGACACAUUUUUUGAGUUGAAGAGGAAUUUGGAUGAAAGCAUAAGACAGGUCACAUUCAGGAUGGUAUGAAGAAUACAGUUUAUCAAGAUCAAAUAACUUGAAAUAUUGCAUGUACACUCUAUUGUUUCCAAGUUUUGCUAUUAUUCACUUGUUUUUCUCUUGAAAAGUGCCUUGUGAUGAUGACAAUGAUAUUUUUUAGAAAAAGGAUAU